This 2286-nucleotide long non-coding RNA is filed under the name Oryzias sinensis (Chinese medaka). Its description in RNAcentral is "lncRNA (ENSOSIG00000021039.1)". The record is from RNAcentral. Lineage: Eukaryota; Metazoa; Chordata; Actinopteri; Beloniformes; Adrianichthyidae.
UGUGUGUGUGUGUGUGUGUGUGUGUGUGUGUGUGUGUGUGUGUGUGUUUGUGGGCACGUGGGUGUUGUCUUGAUUAUGAGGUCCAACUCCUGAUGUGUUCGAGUCGGCUCUGGCAACCCGAAGGUGAUUUAGGGAUUAAAGUUAUUACGAGGCUUACAGUUUCUCGAGGCAGAGGCAGUCAGUGUUGAAUUUCUUCAGAGGCUGGAGCAUCUGAUGAUUGAAGGUUGGAGGAGGUCAAAUCUUUUUCUGGAUCAGUUUUCUGAAGCUGAAGGAAUUUAAUAAAAAAGGAACCAUGAAUGAUACUUUUGAUUCUGCUGAUCAUGAGUUAUUGAUUAACAAAGUCCCCUUUAUGGAGUAAGAGGAUCGGCCCUAAUUUGCCUUAGUAGUUAUCUAGAAGACAAUAGUAUGUUGAAAUAAACCAGGUAAAGCCGUUAUUAUUUAUCCUGUACUUCAGUAAUAUUUAUAAAAUGUCCGGUCUGUUAAAAACUAAGACUCUUCCAUUUAAGAGAUCAUAACUAAAUGUUUAUGAAACCUGCUGUAAGAACAAAUAGUAAACUUCUCUGUGUCUCAACAAGAUGGGUUCAAAUAUGGAAUAAACUAAUAAAAUUCAUUAAAAAUUGUCAAUCCAUAAAACAAUUCAAAGGUAUUAUAAAAGGGGAUGUCAUAAAUAUAAGUAGGUCAACACGAUUAAUUUUGACUUUAAUUUUGACAAGACUCAUUUAUUAAUUUUUUAUCAUAAUGGAUUUGUUUCAGUAUUUAUUUCUUGUAAUUCUCCCCCCAAAAAAAGUUUAUAUAAAUUGAAAUUUGGAAUAAAUUAAAUAAAGGGUCUUUAACAUCACUCUGCUGCCAUGUGGAAAGGAAAGGAGAUGUUUGGAACUGGUCUGGUGGUUGUUGUUGGUUAAUUAGAAUCGGUUUUGUGUUUGGAGGUAAACUAUUUGGGGCGGGGUUUCAAUGGUUUCUCUGACAGGCACUCUGUUUCAGGACUCCAUCAACAACAACUCCUUAGGGAAGAAGGACAGCUGGAAGGAAUCCAGAUCUUCCUCCCCACUCAUCACAGGCGAUCUAACACCUCCGGAUGUCAGGCCAAAAGCAGAGGACAAAGUCCGGCAUGGUGCUCAGCGCCGGCCGGCACCAAAACCUCCCUCUGGCGCCGGAUCCAACCUAAGAUCCAGCACUCAGGCCACUGCCCCCUCGACAGAUACACGAGCUCGGACACGAGAGCGGCUGGCCCCGGUGCCCCCACAGACCUCCAACACACCGAGGAGUCAACGGAGAGCAGCAGCAGGAGGAGCAGGCAGGGGAGCAGGAAGAGGAGCAACCACAAUGAGGGAAAAAAACUUGGGGGAACUCAAAGGGAAGGAGGGAUCCAUGGACAGAAGAGGGGGUCGACUGUGUGAGGAGACCAGGACCAAGGACAAGGACCGCAGUCAGAAGCAGAGGGAGGCCAGCACACUGAAGGGCCGGGGGACUGAUGGGAGAGGGAGAGGAGCCCCCAAAGUGAGCAACAAGGGAGGCGUCAAGCCAAAUAACAAACUCUCCAACAAGGAGGUUUACCUGCCGUCCAUGGUGGUCCCACGAACACCUGUCACUCAGAGGAAGAAGAACCAGGACCAAGGCCAAAACCAUGACAGGACCCAGGACCCUCCUGUGCUGUCUCGGUCCAGCAGUGAGGGGGGCUCCAACAGGAUGUCCCUGAGCUCAGACACAGAGGGCCCCCCUCCUGGACCGCUGCAACCCCCUCUGUCCCACAUCACCAACCCAGACAUCAGUGAGGAGGACGGAGAAGGAGAUCCGACUCCGUGCCUGCAGAACGGUCCGACCCGCAGCUUUGCAGCAGGAGACGGAACCACGGCGAGCUGCGAGGUGGAGGGAGGCGGUGCUGUGAAGCGGGCUGAGGUUCCGCCGGAGGCUGCAGCCGGGCUCUGCUAUGACUCCAUCAAGUACACGCUGGUGGUGGACGAGUGCGCUCAGCUCGAGCUGGUCAGCCUGAGGGACUGCACGCGCAGGAACGAGGACAGCGAUGCUGAGACUGUGUACCAGUCGGCCAAUGAGGAGGAAGAUCCAGAGUACGAGGUGGAGAGGCAGAAGAGCGAGGAAGCAAGCAAGCAAGGUACGCGUCUGAUGUUUUUCUUUGAACUGGGCUUCAUCAAGCUCAAUUUAAUACAGUUUUUGAAACUCAAAUCCCAGGUUGUAGAUUUCUCACAUUUUCCAGUUCUGUUCCAUUUAUGGAUCUUUGCGAUUUCUGAACAAACUGUGUUUUUUUCUCAGUCCAGUCAUUUUUUUUAG